UCUUAGAAAUGUAUAAAACCAGUUGUAUCAGAGUUCUCUCCUUGUUCAAAGCUUCAUGUACAAAACUGGCUCUGAACCUUGCGCAAUAAAACUGUCUCUGGCUGACCCAGGAAUGUUGCUUGGUCCUCAUCAUUCCACAACAGUGGCCUAGAGGUGAAGAUGCUUGCCUCCCACUUGGAAGGUGGAGGGUACAAUCCUAGACAGUGGCAGAUGUUUCUCUAUCAGGGCGCAAAGAGAAAAUAUCUGCUGUGAACUCUGCGUAGGCAUCAGGAAGGGCAUCUGAUACAAAGGCUAAAGAAACCCAAAUCAGAUUCGAAGAACAGACCAAGGUGUGUUUCUGAAGACGACUGUAGUUAUGAAAGGCAACCACAAAUGAGGUACCUCUUGAAAGCCCAUCCAAGGAUGCAGAAACAGAUGGGAGUAGCUGACAGAGUAUUCAUUAAGGUGAAGAUGAAGAACGGUGCUUAGAUAUGAAUCGGUUUUAGAUAAUCAUGAAAUGGCGCUAACAGCCGGCACCGCAGAAACAAAUGAAAGGGAGUAAAAAUGUC
Molecule: long non-coding RNA, 548 nt
Organism: Pantherophis guttatus
Lineage: Eukaryota; Metazoa; Chordata; Lepidosauria; Squamata; Colubridae
Source: RefSeq, a predicted model, not a curated record